Non-coding RNA from Gymnothorax javanicus (giant moray), 74 nucleotides. Lineage: Eukaryota; Metazoa; Chordata; Actinopteri; Anguilliformes; Muraenidae. The record is from the annotation of a GenBank genome assembly.
GGCACAGUCGCCCAGUGGUUAGCACUGCUGCCUCACAGCAAGUUGGUCGUUGGUUCAAAUCCGGCCCGGGGCCU